This 653-nucleotide ribosomal RNA is filed under the name Paracercomonas sp. DB-0802-7. RNAcentral describes it as "bacterial SSU rRNA". The stretch from base 1 to 444 matches the Rfam family "Eukaryotic small subunit ribosomal RNA", at positions 1388 to 1831 of the family's 1831-position model. Lineage: Eukaryota; Cercozoa; Cercomonadida; Cercomonadidae. The record is from RNAcentral.
ACCCUUGGUUAUGUGUGCACUUCUUAGAGGGACUGUCGGUUCCUAGCCGAAGGAAGUUCGAGGCAAUAACAGGUCUGUGAUGCCCUUAGAUGUUCUGGGCCGCACGCGCGCUACACUGAUACGUUCAUCGAGCUUACAACCUUGGUCGGGAGGCCUGGGUAAUCUUUUCAAAGCGUAUCGUGCUGGGGAUAGAUUAUUGUAAUUAUUAAUCUUCAACGAGGAAUUCCUAGUAAGCGCGAGUCAUCAACUCGCACUGAUUACGUCCCUGCCCUUUGUACACACCGCCCGUCGCUGCUACCGAUUGAAUGCAUUAGUGAGUCUUGGGGAUCGUUUCUCUUGAGGGUAAAACUUCGGGUUAGAUGAGAACCAAUACAAACUUGCGCAUUUAGAGGAAGCAAAAGUCGUAACAAGGUUUCCGUAGGUGAACCUGCGGAAGGAUCAUUACAACGUAUCCACGUAUAAACCUUAGUGAACCUGUUUAACCGCAUGAUGCAGUAUCGCAAAGUAUGAGCAAUUCGGAAAUAGAGCUCGUACCCGCCUGUCCUCGCGGCAGGGGAUGCUGUCAUUGUGUUUUUCCGUUACACAUAAACCACAUGUAAUUUUCUCUGUAAUUACGGUUUAAGGCGAAAGCUUUUAACUGAUAAAUAUAAGAA